CAAGAGGACCCUUCUCUCUCCCACCGCAUGCAUAGUAUCCGGAGCAUAAACCAGGACCCUGCUGGACUUCAUGAUGACCCUGUCCAGCCUCUCAGUGAUGCUGCUGCAUUGUCAAAACAUCAAAGAAUAGGUACGUAUGCAUGUAUGUGAUGCUGGACUGCUGGUUAUAGUCUGUAGUGGAUUCCUAAUUCUCCUUCCUGAUGGUAGCAGACUAAACAAGCUGUGGCAAGGGUAGUGAGAUCUCCUGCAAUACAGAUCGCUUUGAACAUUGUCCUAUGUAUGCUGCUAUAGGUUUGAUAGACACCUUGAUACACAGAGCUUUGCUUAACCAUCCUUUUAGGUUACCACUCAAAUUGACCCGUUUGAAAACUUAAAACCUUUUGAAAAUCGUAUGUUUUUGGUAUAUAAACUUCUUUUGUUUGUUUAUUAAGGGCAAUGAAAUAAAACAGAUUUAUGUCACACAUGUGAAACCUUCCCCUACAUGUUUAUAUUACUGUACUGGAAAAUUUUUGCCUUUGUGCUAUUUCUUAUCCAACACAGUCGUCAUGUGCUGGUUAGGUGCAAUACUGAACUGAACAUUCUCGCACAAACAACUAAUCUCUUGCGCCCUGUCGUACAUCAAUUCUAAACAUCUGAUGUUCCAUUUGACUGACUAGUAAUUUAUGAUAUAUGUUUGUCUUUUACACCCGGACUCUGACUCCCCACCAGACCCAAGGCUGUUAAAGCGAAUGCAUCUUGUCUUGGAAGCUCGGUGUUCCUUCCUUUGGAUAACAAGACAUGAUGAUGCAGAAAUGACUCCAUUCCUGGACCGGGACGUUUCCAACCUGUUCUCCUCUUCCAACCCCCCACCUCUCCACUCACCACAACUGGCCAUGGCAGAUGAAUUCAACAGGAGUCUUGUUCUGAUUGCGGUCCCUUCCAUUAAACAGCUACAACUGCAGCUUUGUGCUCCUACUGUGAUCCUUCCUGUAGAUUUGCUUUUGAGAACAUUUGUCGUAAUUUUGUUAACCUAUUACUGUAAGGGACCAAAGAGUGUGUGGAUAAAUCAUUCAACUUUUGGUCAGACAUUAAGGUCAAUACUAAUGAGAGAGUUCAGUUCACUUUAAAGCUUUUCUUCUUGAUGGUUUGCACAUCUGUUCUAGUGCAGUGCAUUUAUUAUGUUAAAAGCUACAUGUCUGAAAAUUCAGGAGAGGUUGAUGGUUGCAAAAACACACAAUCUACUGCUCCGAAGCAAUCGCUUAUGUUUGUCAUUUUUUAUAUUAUCAAAGCAUACAGCUAAUUUAUGAUACUGUCAUUGUCACUUUAUUUGAGCGCUAUGACAUGCAUGUGAUACAUACUAAGAGAUUCAUAGUGAUACUUAUGAAAACGGUGAAGAAAAUUCAAGCCAUGGCUUCAGGUAGGUCCACUCAAGUCCCUGUGCCCUUUGCUGUCACCUGCUGCUGUCCAGAACGGUUGACAUCUGGCCCAGUUACCACGAGGGAACUUGCAGGUAACUUCACCGGGGCGAAAGUUAAAUAAGAAUAAGAAAACCUUUAAUAGUCCUGCAGUUGGGAAAUUACUUCUCACAACAGCAGUACAGAUAAGCGAGAGUACAGCUACAGACCAGUUUGUGUUGGCACAGUACAAAGCAGUACAGUUUGAGUGAGUAUGAGGUCAUUGCAGGGUUAUUGCACAGUAAUGGGUAUAAGAUUUGUACCGGUAACAAUAUACAUGAUCGUUCACAGAUUUACACACAAAUAUUGUGCAGAGCAGGUUACAUAAACCACUGAUACAGUACUGAUUGUACAGUCUGACAGACAGGUAGGAAGGAUCUACGAUAUCUCUCCUUCACACAGCGAGGGUGGAUCAGUCUGCUGCUGAAGCUGCUCUCCAGAGCAGUGACUUCCAGUGGGUCAGAGUCCUGGUCCAUGAUGGAUGUCAGUUUAGCCAGGACCCUUCUCUCACCCACCUCCUGCACCGUGUCCAAGUGCAGCCCAGGACAGAGCUGGACUUGAUCCUGUCCAGUCUCUUCCUGUCCCUCACUGUGAUGCUGCUGCUCCAGCAGACCACACCGUACAGGAUGGCCGAUGCAUUUUCAUUCUUUAUUGAACUAUGCACAUUUGGCUAAGGUGAAGACUUUAUAGGAACAUACAUUAAAUUAUUUAAGAGUUCUUCUUGCGCAAGCAAGUCCAAUAACUGAAUGCCCGAAUUAAAUCAGGCAAUCUCAUUCAUGUGUCUGCUGCUCAGAUUACACUGUGCAGGUAAAGACACAAAAUACUAACACCUCUUGGUGCACUUCCUCAGUAGAAAGCAAGCAGAAUUUGUUUUUCACACACUGUACAAAGCCCCGCUCAUUGAUGGUCACUCCCACACACAAUCCCCUAACUCCUCGCGUGUACCACACAAAACAGAAGAAUAGGAGUGACCCCUAAUGAUGAACAAUUUUUUGAUGAGGCUCUUCUUGUUGACAUUAGAGACUAAUCUUUGCGUUUACUUACAAAUUUUUAUAUUUUAAUGUUAUUUUUAAUCACGAAUGCUCUAAAAUAAAAAUAAAAAUUAUAAACUCA
Betta splendens (Siamese fighting fish) is the source of this 2546-nucleotide long non-coding RNA. The record is from Ensembl. Lineage: Eukaryota; Metazoa; Chordata; Actinopteri; Anabantiformes; Osphronemidae.